CUUGGUGGCCAUACCGGCUUGUCAAAGCCUGAUCUUGUCAGAUCUCAGAAGCUAAGCAAGACUGGGCCUGGUUAGUACUUGGAUUGCUGGGAAUAUCAGGCACCACAGUGA
This 111-nucleotide ribosomal RNA is filed under the name Periophthalmus magnuspinnatus. Lineage: Eukaryota; Metazoa; Chordata; Actinopteri; Gobiiformes; Gobiidae. The record is from RNAcentral.